RNAcentral lists this small nucleolar RNA (114 nucleotides) under Arabidopsis thaliana (thale cress). Its description in RNAcentral is "JKHR10B8". The stretch from base 3 to 85 matches the Rfam family "Small nucleolar RNA Z159/U59". From Rfam's summary of the family: This family consists of several snoRNA Z159 or U59 sequences which are members of the C/D class of snoRNA which contain the C (UGAUGA) and D (CUGA) box motifs. This family seems to be found exclusively in rice. Lineage: Eukaryota; Viridiplantae; Streptophyta; Magnoliopsida; Brassicales; Brassicaceae. The record is from RNAcentral.
GGGUCCGAUGAUGAUCAAAUCAUAACUUUCGUUCUUCCGAGAUUUUAUCAUGCGGAGAAAUUAUGGAGACCUGAACUGAGCUGAGAAAAAAAAAAAAAAAAAAAAAAAAAAAAA